RNAcentral lists this non-coding RNA (534 nucleotides) under Pan troglodytes (chimpanzee). Lineage: Eukaryota; Metazoa; Chordata; Mammalia; Primates; Hominidae. The record is from RNAcentral.
UACUCUAAGCAGUUCGCAGGGAGCAUCUUUCAGCAGCUGAAACAGCUUUGCGGCCUUGCUGUAAUGAAGAUCUGCCAGCACCCGGUGUUGUUUCCUAAGGUGUUCAUCACCAACCUAGAACCAAACCAAAACAAGCAACAAAUCCUUCACGAGAAAGAAAGAAAACAACUGUGUAAGCAGACAUCAGUGUAAACCUUAGCACUGUCUCUUGAUGAGAUAAGAGGAGGAUGGCAGUGACAGGAGUGUGGUGGCGAGCCAGUCACCUGCAGUCAACCACGGCUCAUUGCUCUCACCAUGCCUGUUACAUGAAGAAUUAGCAUUUAAGUACUAACCUGACUGGAAGCACUGGGAUCUUCAGAAACUGAAGACGGCAUUUCGAAGGGAGCAGGCCAUGAAGCCCCUUCCGAAUCAUUUGUCUGAUCUGAACUGGACGAUUCCUGCUGUUCUGCGGUGGAUGAGACAGGCUGAGCGGCUCCAUCACCAUUGAUACUGGCCAAACCAGAAAUAAAAAAAGAUUGCUGUUACUAAAGUUAA